UCCUACGGGGGGCAGCAGUGGGGAAUAUUGCACAAUGGGGGGAACCCUGAUGCAGCGACGCCGCGUGAUUGAAGAAGGCCUUCGGGUUGUAAAGAUCUUUAAUCAGGGACGAAAAAUGACGGUACCUGAAGAAUAAGCUCCGGCUAACUACGUGCCAGCAGCCGCGGUAAUACGUAGGGAGCAAGCGUUAUCCGGAUUUACUGGGUGUAAAGGGCGUGUAGGCGGGCUUGUAAGUCAGAAGUGAAAUCUGGGGGUUUAACCCCCAAACUGCUUUUGAAACUGCGGGUCUUGAGUGAUGGAGAGGC
RNAcentral lists this ribosomal RNA (305 nucleotides) under uncultured bacterium. RNAcentral's name for it is "partial 16S ribosomal RNA". It matches the Rfam family "Bacterial small subunit ribosomal RNA", at positions 337 to 658 of the family's 1533-position model. The record is from RNAcentral.